RNAcentral lists this unclassified non-coding RNA (328 nucleotides) under soil metagenome. Its description in RNAcentral is "partial contains 5.8S ribosomal RNA, internal transcribed spacer 2, and large subunit ribosomal RNA". The stretch from base 1 to 120 matches the Rfam family "5.8S ribosomal RNA", at positions 35 to 154 of the family's 154-position model. The record is from RNAcentral.
GAUGAAGAACGUAGCGAAAUGCGAUAAGUAAUGUGAAUUGCAGAAUUCAGUGAAUCAUCGAAUCUUUGAACGCACAUUGCGCCCCCUGGCAUUCCGGAGGGCACACCUGUUCGAGCGCCGUUGUAUUCCUAAGGCUCAGCCUUGUGUUGGUCUCCGUCCCGGCUUCACGGCUGCGGACUGGACCGAAACUCUUGUGGCGCCGUCUCGCGGCCGGCUUUGCGCAAUAGCAGCAGCAAGUCGCGGUUGGCGGUCGCCUGUUAAACAGCACUCUUGGCCUCGGAUCAGGUGGGGAUACCCGCUGAACUUAAGCAUAUCAAUAAGCGGAGGA